UAUGUGAAGUUAGCUAACCAGCAAGCUGGUUACCAAACUUCACGAGUCUUAUUCUCACCUUCGGUGCUCAACGGAAA
Molecule: non-coding RNA, 77 nt
Filed under: Legionella pneumophila str. Paris
Lineage: Bacteria; Pseudomonadati; Pseudomonadota; Gammaproteobacteria; Legionellales; Legionellaceae
Description: traJ-II RNA
Rfam family: traJ-II RNA
Source: RNAcentral